GACGAACGCUGGCGGCGUGCUUAACACAUGCAAGUCGAACGGAAAGGCCCUGCUUGCAGGGUACUCGAGUGGCGAACGGGUGAGUAACACGUGGGUGAUCUGCCCUGCACUUCGGGAUAAGCCUGGGAAACUGGGUCUAAUACCGGAUAGGAGCCAUUUUUAGUGUGAUGGUUGGAAAGUUUUUUCGGUGUAGGAUGAGCUCGCGGCCUAUCAGCUUGUUGGUGGGGUAAUGGCCUACCAAGGCGGCGACGGGUAGCCGGCCUGAGAGGGUGGACGGCCACAUUGGGACUGAGAUACGGCCCAGCCUCCGACGGGAGGCAGCAGCGGGGAAUAUUGCACAAUGGGCGCAAGCCUGAUGCAGCGACGCCGCGUGGGGGAGGACGGCCUUCGGGUUGUAAACUCCUUUCGCUAGGGACGAAGCUUUUUGUGACGGUACCUAGAUAAGAAGCACCGGCUAACUACGUG
Molecule: ribosomal RNA, 465 nt
Filed under: uncultured bacterium
Lineage: Bacteria
Description: partial 16S ribosomal RNA
Rfam family: Bacterial small subunit ribosomal RNA
Source: RNAcentral